Ictalurus punctatus (channel catfish) is the source of this 5243-nucleotide long non-coding RNA. Lineage: Eukaryota; Metazoa; Chordata; Actinopteri; Siluriformes; Ictaluridae. The record is from Ensembl.
GGGAUUUUGGGUCGCAUUUCAGCUGCGUCCCGGCCGGCGUGUCUCCCACGUGGAUCCAACACACCGUUUCCUGUUUGUACAGGAAGUCCAUGGCUGUGGUCUGUUUUGUGCUGGUGUAGAGCGAUGAGCUGCUAGCGCCGCUCAGAGACGUGGCCUGGAUGUUCUGAGAGUUAGCGAUUAGCAACACGGGCAGGCGAUCCACAGGCACUGAGAGACACAGGAGAAACGUGAAGGGACUGAAGACGGAUUAAAUGGUUCCUGCAGAUGCAGAGGAACUGUUUAUUACCGUUCUUAGCUUUGCAGGAUCGGUUAUCAGGCUGAGGGAGAUAACCUUCCACACAGGAGCAGAAAUACGAGCCCUCGGUGUUCGUACACGUCUGACUGCACGUCCCGUAUACCGUACACUCGUCAAAAUCUGAACACACACACACACACGCACACACACACACACACACGCACAUAUGCGCGCGUGCACGCACACAGGACAGGGUGAUGAGUGAGGACCAGAAUUUUUAGGAGGACUGGUUGGGUCCUCAUGAAGGAGAAAAUAUGUUCACACACACACACACACACACACACACACACACACACACACACACACACACACACACACACACACUCUUUGCCUUGAUGUAAGUGUUCCAAAAGGAUCUUUGAACUUGACUAAUUGACACUCUGUGUGUGUGUGUGUGUGUGUGUGUGUGUGUGUGUGUGUGUGUGUGUGUGUGUGUACCUUUACAUAGUUUCCCGUCCUGGCUGAUCUCAUAGCCGUUCUUGCAGUAACACACAGGACCGGAGUGUGUGACGGCGCAGUUUUCCUGACAGCCAGCGAGCGUACAGUUCGAGAUCAAUUCUGAGAAAAGUAACACACACACAUACACACACACACACACACACACACACACACACACACACACACACACACACACACGUAAAGCUGGGUUUUGUGUUUAAAUAUAUUACGCACACUUCUGCACUUGGUUGCGCUGUAGAGAACAGAAUCAUGCAGAAUGACAUCACUCACAGUUCAGAGAAUUAAUAAAUGAAUGAAUAAAAUUCUAGUCAUGAUAAAUUCUACACAAACUCAAACUGCAACACUCCAACAUUUUAAUACAAACUUUAAUACAACAUUUUGUAUGUAAAAAAAGUAGCAAUCAAAAAAUGUCACUAAUUAUUUGAUCAUUUCUAUAGAACUAAAGAUUCUAUUUGUAUAAUUAGACUCAGUAUAAUUUAUCUUCAUUACUUUUAUACUAGAUUUUCUUUUACAAACCAAAUAUUUUGAGAAUUCCCUUAUUUUCCCAAUGAUAUUUUUUUAUUGACUUAUUAUUAUCUAUUUACUUUUUAUUCCUUACAUUGUUUCUUAAUGAUUUACAUUUUAUUAUAGAUUUGAUUUACUUUCCUUGCCAAACAUUUUAAUCUGAAUUUCACCUAUAAAUGUGCUAGAAAUAUAAAGAUGAUUAUUAUAUUAUAUAAUAGUAUAAUUAUAAUAUGGUACACUAUUAUUAUUAUUAUUAUUGUUGUUGUUGUUAUUUUUAUGUAAAGCAUUUCCAGUUACUCUGCACAAACUAACUCUCUUUCUCUGUGUGUGCAUGAGUGUAUGCGUGUACAUGUGUGUGUACGUGUGUGUGUGUGUAUAUAUGUGUGUGUUUGUGCACGUGUGUGUCUAAGCAAAUAGCACGAGUUUUUGCUUCACUUUUAAUCCUUAAGAGGAUUGUAAGAAGCUUGAUGGAGAUUUUGCUCAACAUUCACUUCAUACUGCAUCUUCAUGAAUGUGUGUGUGUGUGUGUGUGUGUGUGUGUGUGUGUCAUACUAAGACACAAUUACUGUAAACCCCUGAAUAACAAUUUAUUUAAUCCAUGUUUUUGACUCACUAAUGACUCACUUUACUCAAUAUUCAACACCGGAAUUUGGCGAUUCUUUGGUUCUCCAGCCCUGAAACCAUAAUUUCUAGAACAUUCCAAAACUAUUUGUUGGAACGACGUUGGAAUUUUCGCAUUUGCUAUUUUUAUUUAAGCGGCUCCUUCCCUAUCAAGUACGACUUGUUUUAUUUAUUUCAUAAUCAGUAAUGUGUCUGUUUACUGAAAACCAGAUUAUACUUAUAAUAAUCUACACACAGCAACAAAACAAAGCAUGCAGUUAUAACACACACACACACACACACACACACACACACACACACACCUCAAAUUAUUUCUAUUUUCUGUCACAGACACACACACCCGAGGGUUUAAGAGGUUUAACACAUGAUUUAUUUGAAGAACCACCUUUGUUUAGCACACGAUUGAAACAUUUAUACUAGACUGUCUCAAACACACACACACACACACACACACACACACACACACACACACAGAGUAGAAAAGUUAAAAAAAAAAAAAAAAAAAAACCUAUGAGGAGAUAAAAUCCAUGUUAUGGCUCCAUAAAAGGAUAAAAACACACCCAAACAUUCAAACCAUUCUGACCAAAUAAAACCAUUUUUAACUCGAGACGUCAUCAUCUGACUCUCGUUCUCUAAAGUCUGGAUUCCAAGUUUUAAUUUCUAAGAUUAAAUUUGCAGAUUGCAAAUCCUAAAAUCUCUCGGUCCAGCAAACACAUCCAGGUCAGGAUAUAAGAGACGCUAGAAUUGCCACGAAAUGAGGUUUAGGACGGAUGCAAUCGCAGUUAAGAGUUUUAUUGAAUAGAGACAUGCAGAUGAAUCCAAAUCAUAAAACAGAGACGUAGUCAGAAACGAGCAAUGGGUCGGGCAAUGGGCAAACAGGCAUAAACGGGGCUAGGCAGGAAUCGAAGUCGCGCUCACUGGAAACGGGGUCAAAACACGAAACAUGAAACUAUGACUGGGAACUGGGAGCAGAAAACACCAGCGUGGUCUAAAUGAACCAAUCUAACAAACUAAAUUAACCUAUCGAGGUACAUAACAUUAACUAUCUACUAUCUGACUAUAAUACUCUGCAAAGUGUACUGUGAGGCGAGGGGUAUAUAUCCUGAACAUAAUCAGCGUUAAGUGCUGACAGCUGAAAACAAUGAAGACACACCCUCGAACAACAACUAAUGACAAAACUGGGAGGAGACAGAACAGAAACAAAACAAACGCACGUGUCCAUAGUCAACAAUGUCACAAUUAUCGACAUUUGAAGAGUGUGGCUUUGAACCUGGCUCGAGCGCACGCACGCUCUCCGGCACUCUGAGCGUGCUGCAGGCUGCAGUUCUGUCUAAAGGGGAGAUCGUUACAAGAAUGCGAUCGAUUUUUGAGAAUAAAGUCAUAAACAUUUGAGAAAAUGUCUUUGUAAAAGUCGUAAUAUGAUCCAAUGGUCCAUCUGAAACAUCUAACAUUCGUGUGUUAGAUGUUCAGGACCCCGUUACAGCUUUUAGACUCGCUAUAAUCCUUUAAAGUAUGAGCCAUAUGAGUCGGCCUACAGGGAGGAGCUCUAAGGCGUAGCUGCGUGGUGUUCCACCAACAACUUCACCCUCAACAACCAGAGGACCAAAGAGCUCAUUGUGGACUUUUAGAUUUCCAGAAGUAGCAGACACUCUCCCAUCUACAUCAAUGAGACUGAAGUAGAGUGUCUCCAGCUUCAUGUUCCUGAGUGUCCACGUCUCAGAGGAUCUGUCCUGGCACCAUAACACUUCAAUUCCGGUUAGAAAGGUGCAACAGUGUCUUCACUUCCUGAGGAGACUGAAGAAAGUUCCUGUCUCCCCAGACCUUAACAAGCUUCUAUCGCUGAACAUCGAGAACAUCCAUCACAGUGUGUGGAGCUCCACAGCAAAGGCUGGUGAAAACACAUUGUGUGCUCAUUCGCCAUACUAAGUGCACUGGAGUUCCAGAUGUUGAGCAGAGAGUACGCUUCGCGUGACGCAGAUUUCAUCCUCAGCAGAGUACGCGUGUACUGCACAUGCGCCGCACGAUUUCUCUAACCAUUUUGAAUUCUUUUGCACUAUUUAGUUGUUCCACAAGGUGGCAGCAGUAAGCCAGGGCCAUUGAUUCUCAAGGUAGUUAAUGAAAAAACGGAAUAAACGGAAGAGACGGAAACGAGUGCAGGUUAGAAAGCACACGCAUUUGUAUAAUUAUAGCCUUAAAGAGUAUACGGAUUUGUAUACAGAUGCUAAUCACGGCGAGAGAUUACAGAAGAGUUGUUCUUCUUGUUGUUGUGAUUCUUCUUCGUUGACGUCCUUCACACCUGAAGACCUGCUUUACUGCUCUGUACUGACUCCUGUAUGCCAGGAGGGGCAGUGCAAGUUAUCGUAACGUGCACGCGUCGACCGCCUGCGACUGUGCGUAUACGCUAGCGUACGCGUAAAUAAAGGAAGUAUACCUGAGGCUUUACACUGCAGAUGUGAUCAUCAGUAGCCUUGAUCAGUCUGUAUAGGACUUGCAGUUUUUUGUGAUUGUUGAGGAUAAAUACUGGAUUUUGCAAAACGUUUUUUGCAGUUUCGCAGGGGUUUUUUUGCAGAAAACUGCUCGAAUUGGUGAAAUUGCUCGAAAUCGCACGCUCUCUCCGUGAUGUUUGCUGGCAAAUGAGAACUUUCAGCUGCACUUUUAGUGCCAUAUAGUUUUGUAUCCUGAAAUUUAGAUGAUUUGUGAAAACACUUUAUGAAGGAAGAACUUUUUUUUUACAGAUUUGAGUUAUUUAAAGAAUCUCGAUUUCUGUUAGGAGCUUUUCUUUUUGCUCUCAAACGUCACAUCACAUCUCCACGCUUUAUUCUAAACUAAAUUUAAAUCAGCUAAUUAGCAUGAACACCACACUUACAAUCACUGUGUGAACAGCUGUAACACACACACACACACACACACACACACACACACACAGCUGUAACACACACCCAUGCAACACUUAUACGACACCUAUGUGACAAACACAACUUCUAACAACUACUUGCUCGUGCGUGCGUGCGUGCGUGCGUGUGUACGCACCUCGGCAGUGCGCCCCCUCAUCUGAUCCAUCAGGACAGUCAGAGACGCCAUUACACAUCUUGCUCAUGUGCACACACACCUCCGUCCCCUCACACUGCUGCUCAUUCGGGGGACACAGUGACACUCGCGUGUGAGGACCUGAGAGACAGACAGGAGGAGAGUAUUAUACACAGACAGGCAAAGAGAGACAGACAAGAGUAAGGGGCUCAGAUUAUCAGACAGACAGACAGACACAUUUCAUAUCACUAAAAUUAUCUCUGCUUUUUAACCAUGUGCUUCUGUUUGGUAAACACACACACACACACACACACACACACACACACACACACACACA